GUGAUGCAUCGUCUUAUUGGACGUUAAGAGAAAACUACACAAAUUACACCCCAGGGCAAAUGCACACCUCCUAAAAGCUGAGGCAAAAAGAAAUUGGGGUAAAAGAACACCAUAAACACAAAUUACAAAGCUGCAGUGUUAUUGAUGUUUUCCAAGGAUAUAACAGCACCAGAUCUGCUCUCACUUGAGGCUUGUGAAUGUGUAAAAAGAAUGUAAAUGACCCAAAAGUGUAGGCAUACAAGGUAAAGCAGGGACCAUAAUUUUGCUGUUGGAUUUCUCCUUACAAACACUGCACCGGCCACGAAAAUCGCAUCCAACUGCUGAAGCAGUGAUCCCAAAUGUUCACUUCCUGAUCGAAUUUUGUCCUCCAAUAGAGGUCUUAACUUUGAAUUAGGGAUCUCCCAUGUCCCUGAUUCCACAUCCCUUGGAAUUGACCUAUUUUCGUCAAGCAACCUUGAAACUGCCUCUAUUCUGAAUAAAAGGGUUGCCUUCUCUGAGGAGAGUGCCUCAACCUGGGCUUGUUUCUGAAUUAAAUGAUCAGUCAACUGAGCAAGCCUUCUCUUAAGCUCAAUUUCUACUUCUGUUGGAUCCUCUAUAUCCUUCCUUGUCAUUUCAACAUUUGCUUCCAGCUUCUUUGCCUUAUCUUCCAGUUUCCCAAUUUUAUCGGUUAAAAAGGAGUACUCUGCUUCAAGUAUAUCCCUUUCAAAUUCAAUUCCUUUGGAAGCUGCUGCUUGGUUUAGAUAUGUCCCAGUUUGGUGAGUCUUGGAGACCAUACUACUGAGGAGUUCUUCAUGAGCCACUUCUUUCAACUCAACCUGUUGUCGAAGUUCUGCAACCCGAUUAAUCUCCAUCUCAAGAUUCUUCUGUGCAGUAGCAAGGGAUCUUGCAAGAUCAGCAUUUGCAGUCUCCAGUUUAGCCAAGCGAGCUAGGGCUUCCAUUCUCGUAUUAUUAUGUUUCCGCUUUUCCAAAUCAACAGCCUCCAUUGUUUCCAUCAUGGUUGUCUGAAGCUCUGAAGCCUCCUGUGCUUGCUGUUUUGCUCGUUCUUCCAAUAUUUUCUCCAAGCUUUGUUUCUCUCCUUCUAAUCUGGCAACCAUAUUCUCCUGCUCUUUGAUGAUCUCCACAGCUUUAGCUGCUGCUUUCUCAGCCAAAAUCUUCUCUCUCAUCUCCCUCUCUUGUUCAUUGUCAGAAUCAGAUGUUGCCACUGAAUCACUGUCUGAAUCGGACCCUGCAUCACUUGUUGAAGAACCUUUCUUCAAAUCAUCUGAGACAGAACUUCUAGAUGCACUACCAGAUCUAUUCUUCCCCUUUACAGUACUUCUCAGUCUAUCAUAAACAUUGCUCACUCCCUUCUUCACAUCAGAUGCCGUACCAAGACUCUCCGAUACCGAUGACAUUUCCAAAGAAUGACCCUUUCCCCCUCGUAAAAUAUUCUCUUCAGAUAUAUCCUUAGAUUCAGAAAGCCCCCCAUUUCUCUCAUAUCCCUUAUUGCUCUGUUUUUCCUUGAGAUUAACAGCAAUGUCCUUGUGAUCCACUUCUUCCCUAUCCAAAUUCUUCGCGUCACUCUGCAAUUCAACACUGGAAGACCUUGCAGAAGAUGUAGACUCUUCCUCAUCACUCGGUUUCCCAUUUAACCUAUUUCCCAAUGCAACAUCCAAUCUCUUCUUAGACUUAACUCCUCCACUACUCUUCAGAUUCAUCUUCCCCUCUAGCACUGACAAAUUUGAACCAGAACCCCCCUGCCUCCGACCUCCAUCCUUCCUCAACNNNNNNNGAAUCGCAGAUACCCCAUUACUGCGAUUCGAAGGAAAUGAAGGAGAAGCCUGAGUUGGAGUACUAAGAAGCUCAGUCCAGUCACUAUCAGUAAGAGUAGGCCUAGUUUUUGCAGAAGGUUUUGGGGCAUUUGCAAUCUCCUUAUCUUCUCCAUUGCUAUUACUACUAACAUUACUAACAUCACUGACAUUGUUAACGUUAGGAUCAGUACUCAAUUUUCCAAAAUAUUCA
RNAcentral lists this unclassified non-coding RNA (2001 nucleotides) under Hevea brasiliensis (rubber tree). The record is from RNAcentral. Lineage: Eukaryota; Viridiplantae; Streptophyta; Magnoliopsida; Malpighiales; Euphorbiaceae.